RNAcentral lists this ribosomal RNA (305 nucleotides) under uncultured bacterium. Its description in RNAcentral is "bacterial SSU rRNA". It matches the Rfam family "Bacterial small subunit ribosomal RNA", at positions 338 to 660 of the family's 1533-position model. The record is from RNAcentral.
CCUACGGGACGCAGCAGUGGGGAAUAUUGCGCAAUGGGGGAAACCCUGACGCAGCAACGCCGCGUGAGUGAAGAAGGCCUUCGGGUUGUAAAGCUCUUUAAUCAGGGACGAAGAAUGACGGUACCUGAAGAAUAAGCUCCGGCUAACUCCGUGCCAGCAGCCGCGGUAAUACGGAGGAUGCGAGCGUUAUCCGGAUUUAUUGGGUUUAAAGGGUGCGCAGGCGGGAGAUCAAGUCAGCGGUAAAAUGUCGGGGCUCAACCCCGGCCGGCCGUUGAAACUGGUUUUCUAGAGUUGGAGAGAAGUAU